Molecule: ribosomal RNA, 423 nt
Filed under: uncultured bacterium
Lineage: Bacteria
Description: bacterial SSU rRNA
Rfam family: Bacterial small subunit ribosomal RNA
Source: RNAcentral
UAAGGAAUAUUGGUCAAUGGACGCAAGUCUGAACCAGCCAUGCCGCGUGAAGGAUGAAGGUCCUCUGGAUUGUAAACUUCUUUUAUCUGGGACGAAACACUCGUUUUCUAACGAGCUUGACGGUACCAGAGGAAUAAGCACCGGCUAACUCCGUGCCAGCAGCCGCGGUAAUACGGAGGGUGCAAGCGUUAUCCGGAUUCACUGGGUUUAAAGGGAGCGUAGGUGGGUCUGUAAGUCAGUGGUGAAAUCUCCGUGCUUAACAUGGAAACUGCCAUUGAUACUAUAGGUCUUGAAUCUUCUGGAGGUCAGCGGAAUAUGUCAUGUAGCGGUGAAAUGCUUAGAUAUGACAUAGAACACCAAUUGCGAAGGCAGCUGACUACGGGGGCAUUGACACUGAGGCUCGAAAGCGUGGGGAUCAAACAG